RNAcentral lists this long non-coding RNA (3898 nucleotides) under Marmota monax (woodchuck). The stretch from base 1019 to 1087 matches the Rfam family "tRNA". The record is from RNAcentral. Lineage: Eukaryota; Metazoa; Chordata; Mammalia; Rodentia; Sciuridae.
CUCUCUGUUACAGCUAUGGGAUUGGGUAAUUUUUUUUAUUAAGAAUUGCACUGCUUUGAGUGUGUCCUUGUUAUUAAAGAUAGGGAGCAGUAUUACGAAAUAUGAGGUGUGGUUUUCAGGGUCAUAUUUUUUGUACAACACCGAAGCGUGUUCAGCUCAUGCUGUGACGGAGUUGAUGCCGGGAGUACAGGGAGAUGGAGCCUGUGUGUUCGUAUUCUGAUUUGAAGCUCAUGAAAGAUUUUUUUUAAAUGUUUACCCUUUAUAUAUAAAAUAUGUUUUAUGUAUUUAUGUGUGCACACAUAUGCGUAAAAAGCACAAGAAUUUCUGUGUAGAUAAAAGUAUAUAAAACUUUACAAAAAUUUGCCCUCACUCCUCUUCUCUGGCCACAGUUCACACUAUUCCCCUGUCUUUUCCAAAACUAAUGUUACCAUUUGGGCCUCCUUCCCCUCCUUUGCUCAUCGUGUUCUCCUACCUACCAUUUCUUGGUUGUGUCUCUUCUGCAGAACCUCCCUCUCACCUGUCCUAGAGAAGUCCUCCCUCCCAUACUUGCCAUUACCACAGUAUUACUUGGCACCUAGCUGCCACUGUGCUGUGUCUUAGAAAGAGACUCCCCCAGGCCAAAAGCUAUGUUUUAGGCUUCUUUGUAUCUUCAGUGCACAGCACAGAGGGACAUCAACCCUACCAAAAAGUCUUGUUAGAGCUCUUCUCUGUGAAGCAUUCAAUCAUGAGCACCUUACUACAAAUGAGAAAUGCCCGCGCCCAGGGUCUAAUUGAACAAGAACUACCCAAGGCAUGUAUUGAGAAACUGAUCACUAUACUCAAAGCCAUUUCAGUUGGGCUGGACUGGGGUUCUAGAAGCUGUCAUUUUAUACGAGUACCUCAGUGGUUCUGAAAUAGCCACCCCAGGAGGAUGCUCUUUCCCUGCUUUUGCCUACUGGGAACCCAUUCUUGGCUGCAUUACUCAGAAAAGGUUAAACCAAUUGGAGUUUGUCAAUGUGUCAUUAAGAAUUCUUGGACUGGGGUUGUGGCUCAGUGGUAGAGCACUUGCCUAGCAUGCAUGAGGCACUGGGUUCAAUUUUCAGCACCACAUCUAAAUAAGUAAAUAAAAUAAAGGUCCAUCAACAACUAAUAAAAAUAUAAAAACAAACAAACAAAAAAAGACUUCUUUAAGUCAGGAUCCCUAGGGGGCUAAGGUGAUGGGGAGAAGGAAGGAAGAGACUCACACUGUACCAUGACAGUUUAGUUAUCACUUGAGGAAUGAUUGCAAAUAUCCAUAACUUGAAAGUAAUACUGCAAUUAAGGUAAUUUAUUUUAAUACCUAUUUUUACUUCUAAUUGGUACAUAAUAAUUGUACAUAUUUAGGGGUACAGUGUAUUAAGAUCUGAUCAGGGUAACUAGCAUAUCCAUCACCUCAAACAUUUGUCAUUUCUUUGUGUUGGGAGCAUUCAGAAUCCUCUCUACGAGCUCAUUAGAGAUAUACAAUUAACCGUUGUCAACAUAGUUACCCUACUGUGCUAUAGAACAUUAGAAGUUAUUCCUUCUAGCCAACUGCAUUGAGUAAUAAUUUUUAAUUCUUCUCCACUACGAAACUCAUUCAGUCAAAGUACAACUGUUGUCAGUUGAUUGCUGUGGACAUUUGUUCCUCCUCUAGUACUUUGUGCAGAAUGCCCAGAGCUACUGACUUUUUAACCUGCUAUGCCUUUGUACUCUUUAAGUCUGAACACCCUGUCCUUGUCCUUUAACCUGGAUUCUCUAAUAGGUUCAGCCCUCUGCUUCUUUUGAAUUUCCUGCUGAAUCAUGGCAGAGGAAGGAGUUUCGUUGUUGUUGGUGGUGGUGGUGGUAGUGAGGAUUGAAGCCCAAGGUGCAUUACACCGAGCCACAUCCCCGGCCCUUUUUAUUUUUUAUUUUGAGACAAGGUCUUGCUAAGCCACUAAGUUACUUAGGGUUAUGUUAAGUUGCUGAGGCUGGCCUUGAACUUGCAAUCCUCCUGCCUCAGCCUCCAGAGUCACUGGGAUUACAGGUAUGCACCACCAUACCUGGCAGAAGGAGCAUUUUUAAGCACCACUGAUUGUUGAAAAGAAUCCUCUCUAAGCCACACUGGAAACUGAUCUCCCAGCGUGGCUUCCAGAACCUACCUGAGGUACACCUUCCAUCCUCCUCCCCUGCCUUGCAGAUGCUCAGGGAUCCAAUUCAGCCUUUUUAUAUCUAAAAGUUCAUGUGGCCUUUGCAAGCAGUGAAGAAAUAUUUGCCAGUGUAGAUAGGCUUUUUCAAAUUGCCUCCUCACAGUGUUUUAAUUCUCAACAAGAAAUCUGUAAUACAGGUGGAGCAGAGAUAACCAUUCCUCCUGGAGGGAAACCCAGUCUUUUCCCUGCCCACCUGCCACCUUCCCACCUACCUCAUCUCCCCUCGACACAUGUCACUUUUUGAAAGUCUCAGACCUAGUACAUAUAACCAGGCCAGGAACAUGUGCCCCCUCGUUUGCUAGGGGAUAUAAGUCCUACCUGCAAAUGUUACUUGUGACAAAGGCAUAUUACCAACACUGAUGUUAAAGGAGUCUUAGCCAAGCACAGGGAGUGGGGUGAAAACAAAGCAAAUUGCAUGCAAUAAAGGGGGGGUGACCUUGGUGAUUUAGGUAUAAAGCUGUUAAUAUAUUUAUAAGCUCACAAAAAAUCUGGGAUAGCAGGAGGAAGUGAAAUUCACAGGCCAGCCCUGGUCUCAUUUAAUCCACGGUUUCAGUUUCCUCGGUUGAAUUAGAAGUAGUUUUGAAAGGUGUUCAAUGGUAUCUUUCUCCCGCUGCCACUCCCACAUUUUUCUCUCUUCCUUCUCUUCGAUUAAGCUGUAUUAAUCAACACAGGAGUCCUUCACUGGCUCUCUGCAAGACACUUCUCAUCUAUUCUUCCUUUGCAGGGAAGAAAAUCAAGGCUGGGGAGGUGACUGAAUCACCUAGAGCCAUAUGACUGGCAAGGGGCCAAAUUUGGGCAGGCAGAUCAGAUCUGUCUCCGUCCUCAUAUUACAGAAAAAUACUGUCCAUGAAAGGGACGUCACCGGGAGUGAGAAAAGAGGCCAGGGGUUUAGCAACCUGCUCUUGAUUUCAGGUUGGCCGAGGAGAGUUUGAGCCUUGAUAUUUCUCACAGCCUUAAGGAGGAUUUGUUGACCCCACUCUCUGGGCACAGAGAUGAUUUUAUCAGAAAGGGCAGACAGACAGCGUGAGCCCUCCAGUGCUCUGGUCACUACUGACAAGUGCUGCAGACCCUUCCCUCCCCCUGCUGGUCAUCCCAUUGGUGCUGCCCUGCCAGGGCGCCCACCUAGGCCAUUUCCUGUAGAUUGUAAGGUUUUCAAAAACAACCAGGUCACAGUACAUUUUGCUUCAGGCCUGAAAUAGAACUACAACCCAAGGACCUGAAGGAAAACAUCUUUUGGCAAAACAAACAAACAAAGCCCAUUCUACCUCGUGGUUCUGCCAGCCCAUGUCUUCUCCCAGAAAUCAUCUGGAUAUAGGUUCAUACACAGAGGUGAUUAAAGAUGGUCCUAGCCCCCAUACUUGGGUUUUACUUACUCUCACCUUCAAUCAUUUGGUGGGCAGAAAGAAUGACCUUUAAACUGGUUUGCACCACGAAAGCAGGAAGCCGGAAGCUCUGACAGGACACUAUUCUGUUGAGGUCAAAGUGGGCAGGAUCAUGUCUUGAGUUUGACUGCAUGACCACUAACUGGGUCCCCAGACCAUAGUAGGUGUUCAGUGAAGUUCAGGGAAUGUUGGUCUAUGGAAAUUUAGAUAUCCAUGCAUGACCUGCCACCAGGAAGCCAAGACUGAAGCGCCCCCCCCCCCAGUCAGCCCUCCCUUGCGACACCCUAACCAGUAGCACAAACGAAGAUCGAGCACACUUAUUAGAAAACUGGA